This is a long non-coding RNA of Apteryx owenii (little spotted kiwi), 1273 nucleotides long. The record is from Ensembl. Lineage: Eukaryota; Metazoa; Chordata; Aves; Apterygiformes; Apterygidae.
CUUAUCUACUAGAAGCCGAAUUACUUGGAAACCAAGUACUGAAAACAGGAUGCAGUUCUGAAUCUCGUAGGAGACCGCACAGAAGCUGGAUAUGAAUCUUAUACCCAGAUUCAGGAUCCCCAUCCCCCAGACAACUGCAGUCUGCCAUCACAGCCAGGACCACCAUCAAGCACACAACAGCCGCUCUUCUAUACUCUGAUCUCACAUGAGCUCUCAUCAAAUCUUUGUGAUCAGUCCAGCUGGUAUAGAGGAUAUCCAGCUACUGUUUGGCCAUUCUUGCCCAGCUCCAUCAGAACAGUUCUUUUCACAGGAUAAAGAGCUGAAAAGGUUGCAUUCAUGUCCAACCCACUGUAGCUGUGGUAGGUUAUCAGAAGGGGGAAUGGGUUCUUAUGAGGAAGGGGUCCGUGUGAACAGUGGGUCUGAAGUACUGGCCUUCCCAACAGCUAGUUGCUGUGAAUCUUGUCUGUUUAAUAAAGAUGAUCCAAACACAGUCUAGAUCAUUUUGUUUUUGCCACGAAGAGGACAAGAAUUGGGGAUCAGGAUAGGCACCCUCUGAGAUAAUUCUUUCCUGUCCUUCUGCAAGCAUCCUUCAAGCUAGCCUGCUGCAAGACCACAGAAGUUCUUCAGCUGGACUUUCAGAUGUACUGGGAGACUCUAGUACUUGUGACUUGGCUUGAGGGCUAAUUAAAGGGACUGACAGCCAGCAAGGCUGCGAGCAAGGACAGCCAGUAGAGGACAUGAGGUCAGUCUGUCAUCAGUGACAAGAUGUUUCUGAACAGUUCAUUUUGGCAUGGCUGUCCUCCUCCCUUUUCUUGGUGUACUUCCUUUCUCAGUCAAUCAGUGCUCAGUUAAUUGGUAUAGGCAGUGGCAGCUCUCAUGCUUUUUAGCUGUAAGAUAUCAGCUAAAAUUUUGUAGUAGACUUGCGUGCAUGUAUGUAUACACAGGUAUACAGCAAUGAAAGUUUAGACCAAUAUGGAACAAAUCAAGAACAGUAUAAUUUAUUCAUUAUCAAGACAAUAUGAAGACGACAACAUUUAGUUGUUAUACACUGGAAAUACAAAAGAUAAGGUCAUUGCCUUGUAAAGAACCUUCUGACUCUCUUCUGUGCUCCCCUUUAAAUGCUCAGGCCAUAUGCCAGCUCUGUGAGACUGGGAAUAGCCAGUGAAAACCCCAUUGAAGGCUACUGCACAGGUGGAUGAAUGCAUGAGAACGCAGUAAUGCAUUUAAGUAUUAGUAAAAUAAAAAAAUACCUAUGGAAAUUGGUUAUGUGUUU